CGGAAGGUCCGGGCGUUAUCCGGAUUUAUUGGGUUUAAAGGGAGCGUAGGCCGGAGAUUAAGCGUGUUGUGAAAUGUAGACGCUCAACGUCUGCACUGCAGCGCGAACUGGUUUCCUUGAGUACGCACAAAGUGGGCGGAAUUCGUGGUGUAGCGGUGAAAUGCUUAGAUAUCACGAAGAACUCCGAUUGCGAAGGCAGCUCACUGGAGCGCAACUGACGCCGAAGCUCGAAAGUGACGGGUAGUCGAACAAGGAUUGAA
RNAcentral lists this ribosomal RNA (260 nucleotides) under uncultured bacterium. RNAcentral's name for it is "partial 16S ribosomal RNA". It matches the Rfam family "Bacterial small subunit ribosomal RNA", at positions 526 to 783 of the family's 1533-position model. The record is from RNAcentral.